UUUUCACUUCUUCCUCUUUCUCCUCCCGCCCAACCUCCACAACUACCACUCAAUUUCUUCUCUUGCUUCGCUUCGUUGCUGGUUGUGGUGGUGAGGAAGAGUGCUAGAGGGUUGUGGUCACGGUGAGGGUCUGGGGUGCUGUGUCAAUGCUGGUUGGGGUUUUCUUGUGCGUGGCUUUGGUGCGGUGGUGCUGAGAGAAUAGCAGAGAGGUCAUGGAGUUUAGUUGUGACUGAUGUGCAUUGAGGAAGAGACUUAUGCUGUCAUGGUGGGAGGCUUGAAGAUGAUGAAUAACAGUGGUGCUGAAGAAUCACUGGUGUGCAGGAAGGAGAUGCAGAGCAUGAGGGUUUUGAGAAGAAGGAUUAGAGAUUAGUUUGUGUGUUUUUUUUUUUUUUUGCUGGACUAGUGGACUGGCUCUGCUUUGGCUUCAAUGGAGAUGAAGGUAUUUAAAGGACCAGCUAAAAAAAUGGCAGAAGGGAAGAGGGAUGAGGAGAAUGUGAGGGGGAUAGCUAUGGAGGUUUAUGGAAAUGCAGGAUUGAGAUGAAUUACAGAGGGAUUUGAGUUGGCAUGCUUGGCAUUGUAUUUGAUGCAUGAGAGAAAACAGGGGAAGAAGUCUUUCUGGUAUACAUACAAUAGUCAAUAGGAGCUUGAUUGUCGAUGAUAACAUUACCAAGAAAGGAAGCUAAUAUGUGUGAAGAUUAGUUUUCACAAGCGAUGACUUCCAAAUGGUGUUGAGGGAUGAAAAUGGAGUGGGGAAGAGGCAUUAGUCCCUGGAGAUGUGAUCAGGAUCAAGUUGGGAGACAUUGUGCCUGCUGAUGCCUGUCUCUUGGAGGGAGAUCCUCUUAAGACUGACCAUUCUUCACUACUGACUUCCAGUAGCUGCUAAACAACUUCUGGAGCGCAACUUGGGUAGAAACCACACAAAUUGACUUGUGCACACAUGGAACUGGCAAUUGAGGUAAGUGAGAGGAAUUUCAGUAGCGGCUGUCUAAAGUCACCAGCACUUGCAACUUAGGCUCCCACUAAAAACUAUUUUUUUUCGUAAUGAAUUGAAAAGGAAGUUAAUUUUUUCUCAUAUUAAAAUGAAAUGUUGUGAGUGUGAGAAUUAGAUUUAUGAAAAUUAUUCUUGUAAUUUCUUACAAACCAGACUUAUCUUCUGGGUUUUAGAAGCUGGUGAAUUAGA
Lotus japonicus is the source of this 1180-nucleotide long non-coding RNA. RefSeq lists it as uncharacterized. The transcript has 3 exons. NCBI's taxonomy places the organism in Eukaryota, Viridiplantae, Streptophyta, Magnoliopsida, Fabales, Fabaceae. The record is from RefSeq and is a predicted model, not a curated record.